RNAcentral lists this long non-coding RNA (200 nucleotides) under Nicotiana benthamiana. RNAcentral describes it as "long non-coding RNA (NBEN_LNC000197)". The record is from RNAcentral. Lineage: Eukaryota; Viridiplantae; Streptophyta; Magnoliopsida; Solanales; Solanaceae.
UUUCAGGCUCAGCAAAGGAUGCUCCUAUAGUUACUCCAUUAAUGGAUUAUAUACGUCAGAAAAGAGCUGCGAAGAGUGGAGCUCGGGUAGGAAAUUUUCCUGUUUCGAAAUUCCCAAUGUUGGGAUUUUCAAACUUUACUAGCAAAGAACUAGUUGCUGUCUGUUUUUGUCGAGGUGCAACUUUCUACUUGUAGGUGCUC